Molecule: transfer RNA, 77 nt
Filed under: Nonomuraea zeae
Lineage: Bacteria; Bacillati; Actinomycetota; Actinomycetes; Streptosporangiales; Streptosporangiaceae
Description: tRNA-Met
Rfam family: tRNA
About the family: Transfer RNA (tRNA) molecules are approximately 80 nucleotides in length. Their secondary structure includes four short double-helical elements and three loops (D, anti-codon, and T loops).
Source: RNAcentral
GGGGCGGUAGCUCAGCCGGUCAGAGCAUCGGACUCAUAAUCCGUGGGUCGUGGGUUCAAGUCCCACCCGCCCUACCG